Molecule: ribosomal RNA, 717 nt
Filed under: uncultured archaeon
Lineage: Archaea
Description: bacterial SSU rRNA
Rfam family: Archaeal small subunit ribosomal RNA
Source: RNAcentral
GGACAACCUGCCCUCGGGUGGGGGAUAACCCCGGGAAACUGGGGCUAAUCCCCCAUAGGGGAUGGGUACUGGAAUGUCCCAUCUCCGAAAGCGCUUAGCGCCCGAGGAUGGGUCUGCGGCGGAUUAGGUUGUUGGUGGGGUAACGGCCCACCAAGCCGAAGAUCCGUACGGGCCAUGAGAGUGGGAGCCCGGAGAUGGACCCUGAGACACGGGUCCAGGCCCUACGGGGCGCAGCAGGCGCGAAACCUCCGCAAUGCGGGAAACCGCGACGGGGUCAGCCGGAGUGCUCGCGCAUCGCGCGGGCUGUCGGGGUGCCUAAAAAGCACCCCAUAGCAAGGGCCGGGCAAGGCCGGUGGCAGCCGCCGCGGUAAUACCGGCGGCCCGAGUGGCGGCCACUUUUAUUGGGCCUAAAGCGUCCGUAGCCGGGCUGGUAAGUCCUCCGGGAAAUCUGGUCGCUUAACGAUCAGACUGCCGGAGGAUACUGCCAGCCUAGGGACCGGGAGAGGCCGGGGGUAUUCCCGGGGUAGGGGUGAAAUCCUGUAAUCCCGGGAGGACCACCUGUGGCGAAGGCGCCCGGCUGGAACGGGUUCCGACGGUGAGGGACGAAGGCCAGGGGAGCGAACCGGAUUAGAUACCCGGGUAGUCCUGGCUGUAAACGAUGCGGACUAGGUGUCACCCGAAGCUAUGAGCUUCGGUGGUGCCGGAGGGAAGCCGUUA